This 398-nucleotide ribosomal RNA is filed under the name uncultured bacterium. Its description in RNAcentral is "partial 16S ribosomal RNA". It matches the Rfam family "Bacterial small subunit ribosomal RNA", at positions 338 to 733 of the family's 1533-position model. The record is from RNAcentral.
CCUACGGGAGGCAGCAGUGAGGAAUAUUGGUCAAUGGUCGCGAGCCUGAACCAGCCAAGUAGCGUGAAGGAGGACUGUCCUACGGGUUGUAAACCUCUUUUGUCAGGGAAUAAAGUGAGGCACGUGUGCCCGUUUGUAUGUACUUUAUGAAUAAGGAUCGGCUAACUCCGUGCCAGCAGCCGCGGUAAUACGGAGGAUCCGAGCGUUAUCCGGAUUUAUUGGGUUUAAAGGGUGCGUAGAUGGUUUGUUAAGUCAGUGGUGAAAGUUUGCGGCUCAACCGUGGAAUUGCCAUUGAUACUGGCAGUCUUGAGUACAGGUGAAGUAGGCGGAAUUCGCGGUGUAGCGGUGAAAUGCAUAGAGAUCACGCAGAACUCCGAUUGCGAAGGCAGCUUACCAAC